Molecule: ribosomal RNA, 683 nt
Filed under: Globulosis sp. SLE0027
Lineage: Eukaryota; Metazoa; Arthropoda; Insecta; Coleoptera; Hydrophilidae
Description: partial 16S ribosomal RNA
Rfam family: Archaeal large subunit ribosomal RNA (bases 1-539)
Source: RNAcentral
GGCUGCGGUAUUUUGACCGUACAAAGGUAGCAUAAUAAUUAGUUUUUUAAUUGAAAGCUGGUAUGAAUGGUUAGAUGAGAAAUUUACUGUCUCUGAUUAAUUUUUUGAGAACUUUAUUUUUAAGUUAAAAAGCUUAAAUUUGUCUUAAAGACGAGAAGACCCUAUAGAGUUUAAUGAUUUAAUUGUUUAUUAUUUUAAAGAAUUUAUGUUUUUAUUUAAUUAGAUCAUUUUGUUGGGGUGACAAGAAAAUUUGAUAAACUUUUCUUUUUAUAAACAUUUAUUUAUGAUUAUUUGAUCCAAUUUUUGAUUAUAAGAUUAAAUUACCUUAGGGAUAACAGCGUUAUUUUUUUGGAGAGCUCUAAUCGAUAAAAAAGUUUGCGACCUCGAUGUUGGAUUAAAAUUUACUGUUGGCGCAGAAGUUGACGUGUUGGGUCUGUUCGACCUUUAAAAUUUUACAUGAUCUGAGUUUAAACCGGUGUGAGCCAGGUUGGUUUCUAUCUUUAGAAUUUUUUAAUAUUUUAGUACGAAAGGACCGAUUAUUAAUAAUAUUUAUUUUUUAUUGAAUUAAAUUAUUACUUUGGCAGAUUAGUGCGUUAAAUUUAGAAUUUAAAUAUGUAUAUUGUACAGGUAAUACUUGGUUUUUGAUUAUUUAUUAAUAUUUAUUAGUAUAUUAAUUUUGGUUG